Molecule: long non-coding RNA, 2673 nt
Filed under: Zostera marina
Lineage: Eukaryota; Viridiplantae; Streptophyta; Magnoliopsida; Alismatales; Zosteraceae
Description: long non-coding RNA (ZMAR_LNC004005)
Source: RNAcentral
UGUAAUUGUAGACGCAAGCAUUUGGAGUGAUCACCGGCGGCUGCGGUUUAACCCUAAUCGCUGAUCGGAUUGGAAAACUAAGUAAAAUCUCCAUUCGCGAUUCAUCAAAAUCAAGACUCUGUCUUUUGAUAUAGUAGAGAAGAGAUGAUCGACUAACCUUGUUGCUGUUGUUGUUGUUGAUUGUCGCCGGCGGCGCCAUGGUGAGCAGAUCCUCCUCCCUUUGCUCCGAUGAAUGCCAUGUUGCAAUUGGUCCUCCUCCCAUCGAUAAUCGGUUCUGUGUGAGCGCAAGCUCUGUAAGCCGCAUCAGGAUCGGUGAACGUCACCUGGUGGUUAUAUUUUGAAGAUCGCACGACGAACGGGUAAGCGUUAUUAUUGCAUGUAACCCCCUGAUUAAUUAAUUAAUUAAUUAAUUACUCACAAAACCAUAUCCUUUGGAUCGACCACUGUAUUUAUCACCGAUAACAACGGCCUCCCAGAUUUCUCCAAACUGAUCAAAAUGACGUUUCAAACUCUCUCUCGUCGUCUCCCAUGCCAAUCCUCCGACGAAAAUCUUCGUGUGCUCUGUGCUCACCUCCCUCCUAUUGCCGGAACAGUCGAUCAUGUUUCUGCGGCUUGCACCGGUGCCGUUGAUCGGAAAUGGAUUUCCAGGUUGGUGCGCCAUGUAUGAUCCGUCUGCCCCUUUAUCUCUAUAUGCCUUUAUAUAUAAUUUACGAUCGCAUACAUGCAUGAUAGAUUGAUAGAUAAACAUGAGGGUCGCUUCCACGUCUCACGAUGGAACGUGGCCACGUGGAUAUUGAACUAUUAAUUAUUUUAUUAACUAUUUGAUUAACAUAACUAAUUAAUUAGCUUAUUAACCAACGAUGAUGUAGAAGCAUGCGUUAGCAUAUCACCACUUUGAUGAUGAUUAUUGAUUAUCGAGUGCACGGUUAGUCAUGGCUACCCGAUUUGAUCGGGUUAAAUAUAUUCACUCAUAUCCUAUUCAAAGUGGUUGGGUUAUGAUUUCUUCUUGAUGACAUCCGAAAGUCAGAUCAAGACUAACUAAAGGAAUAAAAAAAAUACAAGGCAUGUCUGUCAAAAGAACUUCUUAGUUAACAAUGAGUUAGCAGUUGAUUGAAUUAGGAAUGUAAUAACAGAAUAUAAUAUCUAUAAAUACACUGGGUUUCUGAUGCGACGAACCCCAUCGGACAUGCAUCCACAUGCACGUCGAACAUGAACUUCACCGGCAUUCCAUUGGGAUUUGACUGAUCAAUAGGACGGCAUGAUAAAUGCAGGGUGAAAGAUGAAUAACUUGGUAAAUGCAGGAUCGUUAAGAUCAAGACAGCUGCAACAAUCAAGCUUGACGAGAAAAACAUUUUCUCAUGAAAGGCUCAAGUCUUGGCAAAUCUUCGCAGGUAGGGUGUCAAAUAAAGCUCGGUUCGACGGACUCGUUAAGCUCGGUAAGAAGUAUAAAAAAUUAAAAAAAUAUUAUAUUUAGAGGAGAAUAGAAUUGUAGCACAAAUGGUAAAAAUGUUUCCUUAUCAUGCGAGAGGUCAUGGGUUCGAUCCCCCAUGUUUUCAAAUUAAUUAUUUUAAAUUACAGGUUAAAUUCGAACCCAGGAUCGUGGGUUCGAGUCUGAGUCUGGAAAGUCUUUGACGAGCCGAGUCCGAACACAGAUGAUACCUUAACGAGCCGAGCCCGAGUCCGGCUCUAUAAACAAAAAUUCGGCUCGUUUGACACCCUAUCCGCAGGUAUGGUCUUCUGGAAUUUUUCAAUUCGCCAAUAGACGAGUCUGAUCCUCUUGCAGUCCAGCAAGAUCAGCUGAUACUCAGGUGGUUUUUCUAUGCUCUCUCGCCCACCAUUAUUCCUCAGGUGGCAGCAUACACUCCAUCUCAUGAAGUCCAGCUUCACCUCCAACAUGAACUCACAACCUUUAAAAAAGGUGGAUUGAUACUAGGUGUGUUACUUACCUCCUAGUCCGACGGACUUUUGAUGGUGGAUAAAUGGUCACAAUCCUGAGUAACCAUGAAAGUUGGAAGAAAGAAGAUGAUUUAAAAAAAUUAUAGUGACCUGAUAUCCUCUCCAGCACAUACUGCUACUCUACAUUAUCUCCUACCUAACGUAGAACAAACAAUUGAAACAAGUGUGCGAAAUUUGUGUAAGCCAUUGAACCAAAUCUACCUAUGUAUUUCCUACCUACUAUUAAUUUACAUUUUUUGGUAAAAUCAUACGACAAGUAAAUCUAAAUAUAUAUAUAGGGAAGACAUUUGGAACGGCCGGUAGUCGGAACGGUCACUGGUGCGGACCUCCGAUCCGGCCGUCCAUCUCCACAACAAAAUUCUCGACCGUUCAUUGAAUCGAAAUCGGACGGUCGUUGCUCUGUUCGGCGAGCGGAGGUUCCCCGGAGAUGAGUUCCGCGGAACCGCGAUCGAGUUCCGCGGAACUCACGAUGGGUUCCUCUGAGGUGAAUCUCGAUUAGGUUUUUACAUGACGCCAGCAUCGAUCCCAAUUCUCUGUCGACGAGCAUAUCGUUAUGUGAAAGAUCCAAUCGCCGGAGUAGCCAUCUGAACCCAUGAUCACCCCAACGAAUUCCACACAAAGAAAUAACCUCAAGUCCCAAUUCUUCCACCACCUCCUCCUCCUCUUCCAAUAACCCUCGACGAACCGCAAGCUCCCCCGGGACCAGACAAUCGUCAG